ACAGGCCAUCAUUGCAGAACUCCCAGGAACAGAGAGACAGCUGACACUGACAGUUUCUUCACUGAAGGAGGAAACAGGGAGUGAGUGGAGUUGGCCUCUCUGAAGGAGACUUUGCAGCUGCCUGGAGACUGGGACCUUCCUUCAAUCAAUUCAUCUUAAGGAAGAGAUAGAGAUAGUGGUUAGCACUCCACUCAGGUGGACUGAAAGGAAUAUGAAUGUCAAAAUGGAAGCCCUUGGUGAUAGGAUUUUUCUUCCAUUUCUUCAAGCCCCAGUUCUUGAUAACAUCAUUGGUAUCACCAUGAGUAAUUUCAACCAUAAUGAGAUUGCAUCAAGUGGAGAACCUGAAAGAAAGGCAAAGAACUCAACUAAGAUCAUGUACAGAGAAAAUGGCGGAGUGGAAAGAAGAUUCAGUGUAUUGUAAAAAAAAGACCAGAGUUCAAAUUCUUACUACUACUUAACAACUAUAUGCAUGACCAUAAUAAAGUUGCUUAACCU
Molecule: long non-coding RNA, 495 nt
Filed under: Monodelphis domestica (gray short-tailed opossum)
Lineage: Eukaryota; Metazoa; Chordata; Mammalia; Didelphimorphia; Didelphidae
Description: lncRNA (ENSMODG00000034550.2)
Source: RNAcentral